UGGGGUGUGGCUCAGCAGUACAGCUCUUGUCCAGAGGGCAUGAGACUCUAGGUUCAAUCCCUAGCAUUACAA
This 72-nucleotide transfer RNA is filed under the name Cavia porcellus (domestic guinea pig). It matches the Rfam family "tRNA". Rfam says of the family: Transfer RNA (tRNA) molecules are approximately 80 nucleotides in length. Their secondary structure includes four short double-helical elements and three loops (D, anti-codon, and T loops). The record is from Rfam by way of RNAcentral. Lineage: Eukaryota; Metazoa; Chordata; Mammalia; Rodentia; Caviidae.